Non-coding RNA from Ricinus communis (castor bean), 119 nucleotides. The record is from Rfam. Lineage: Eukaryota; Viridiplantae; Streptophyta; Magnoliopsida; Malpighiales; Euphorbiaceae.
GGGUGCGAUCAUACCAGCACUAAUGCACCGGAUCCCAUCAGAACUCCGAAGUUAAACGUGCUUGGGCGAGAGUAGUACUUAGAUGGGUGACCUCUUGGGAAGUCCUCGUGUUGCACCCC